UACAGAGGUGGCAAGCGUUGUUCGGAAUUACUGGGCGUAAAGGGCGCGUAGGCGGCACAGCAAGUCGGGAGUGAAAGCCCGGGGCUCAACCCCGGAACUGCUUUCGAAACUGCUGAGCUAGAGUGCGGAAGGGGCAACCGGAAUUCCCAGUGUAGCGGUGAAAUGCGUAGAUAUUGGGAAGAACACCUGAGGCGAAGGCGGGUUGCUGGGCCGACACUGACACUGAGGCGCGAAAGCCAGGGGAGCAAACGGG
Molecule: ribosomal RNA, 253 nt
Filed under: uncultured bacterium
Lineage: Bacteria
Description: partial 16S ribosomal RNA
Rfam family: Bacterial small subunit ribosomal RNA
Source: RNAcentral